AAUGUCUGGUCAAGGUUUUUGGGGGAGCGAUAUGGAUCCUUGGAAAUACUGGACUGCAAUACAGAAUUGCUGGAAUACAGAAGUAGGACAGAGCGCUGCUCACCUGAUAGUUUCCUAAGAUUAUAUCCAAGUGCAAACCUGAAGGACAGCUUCCUCAUUUUCAUGUGACAGAAGACACCCUCUGGAAAGUUGCUCAUGGACCGAGAAACAUACAGCAGUUCUGCCAAGCCGAGUUCCCCCCAUCAUAACACUACCCACAUUGGAGUGCAAAAAUGCACUGAGGAGCAUACAAAGCAUGCUGUCACUGCUACAGAAAUAGCAUGCCCAGAUACAUACCAUGACCUGCACCAUGCAAUGUGUGUUGACAGAGAUACAAAGUAUGUGCACACACUCUAAGCUGCACCAAUGGCCAAACUGGACAGUAUGCUGGAAGACCUUGAUUGGAUCUCUAAUAUUUUUAUUUUGCUCAAAGCAACCAUGAAGAGGGUAUGAAAUAAAUCAGGGGAAUAAAUGUUUAACCUUU
Hemicordylus capensis (graceful crag lizard) is the source of this 523-nucleotide long non-coding RNA. RefSeq lists it as uncharacterized. Lineage: Eukaryota; Metazoa; Chordata; Lepidosauria; Squamata; Cordylidae. The record is from RefSeq and is a predicted model, not a curated record. The transcript is spliced from 2 exons.